This 67-nucleotide transfer RNA is filed under the name Lebbeus groenlandicus. RNAcentral's name for it is "tRNA-Gln". The record is from RNAcentral. Lineage: Eukaryota; Metazoa; Arthropoda; Malacostraca; Decapoda; Hippolytidae.
UAUGUUUUGGUGUUUAGCACGUGAAGUUUUGAUCUUUAAGGAGAUGGUGGAAUCCCAUAAUUCAUAA